GAUGAACGCUGGCGGCGUGCCUAAUACAUGCAAGUCGAGCGAACGGACGAGAGGCUUGCUUCUCUGAUGUUAGCGGCGGACGGGUGAGUAACACGUGGAUAACCUACCUAUAAGACUGGGAUAACUUCGGGAAACCGGAGCUAAUACCGGAUAAUAUUUUGAACCGCAUGGUUCAAAAGUGAAAGACGGUCUUGCUGUCACUUAUAGAUGGAUCCGCGCUGCAUUAGCUAGUUGGUAAGGUAACGGCUUACCAAGGCAACGAUGCAUAGCCGACCUGAGAGGGUGAUCGGCCACACUGGAACUGAGACACGGUACAGACUCCUACGGGAGGCAGCAGUAGGGAAUCUUACGCAAUGGGCGAAAGCCUGACGGAGCAACGCCGCGUGAGUGAUGAAGGUCUUCGGCUCGUAAAACUCUGUUAUUAGGGAAGAACAUAUGUGUAAGUAACUGUGCACAUCUUGACGGUACCUAAUCAGAAAGCCACGGCUAACUACGUG
RNAcentral lists this ribosomal RNA (497 nucleotides) under uncultured bacterium. RNAcentral's name for it is "partial 16S ribosomal RNA". It matches the Rfam family "Bacterial small subunit ribosomal RNA", at positions 28 to 507 of the family's 1533-position model. The record is from RNAcentral.